UACGGCGGGUGCAAGCGUUACUCGGAAUCACUGGGCGUAAAGGGCGCGUAGGCGGCCUAGCAAGUCUGGUGUGAAAGCCCAGGGCUCAACCCUGGAAAGUCACUGGAAACUGUUAGGCUUGAGUUCCGGAGAGGAGGGGGGAAUUCCCGGUGUAGGGGUGUAAUGCGUAGAUAUCGGGAGGAAUACCGGUGGCGAAGGCGCCCCUCUUGACGGAAACUGACGCUGAAACACGGAAGCGUGGGGACCAAACAUG
Molecule: ribosomal RNA, 253 nt
Filed under: uncultured bacterium
Lineage: Bacteria
Description: partial 16S ribosomal RNA
Rfam family: Bacterial small subunit ribosomal RNA
Source: RNAcentral